Long non-coding RNA from Condylura cristata (star-nosed mole), 389 nucleotides. RefSeq lists it as uncharacterized. The record is from RefSeq and is a predicted model, not a curated record. Lineage: Eukaryota; Metazoa; Chordata; Mammalia; Eulipotyphla; Talpidae. The transcript has 3 exons.
CGCCUCGCCCCCUCGGAGAGCGCGCCUCCUGCGCGGCGCAGGGGAUUAUGGGCUGUAGGAGCUGAGCUUCGCGCCCCUUAGAGGGGCUGCUGCGCAGGCGUGAGAGCGCGCCGGCCCUCUCUUAGCAGUUUCUCACCCCUUUCGUUCGUCUUAUAGUCUGAUUUGGCUGGUUGCUCUUCUUGAUGUGCGUUAAUAUGUUCUGCUGUACCCGUGUCCUGCAAAAGGGCAGAUCCAGAGGGCGGGCCAGACUCAGGUUCAGUUUGGGGGUUAGAGGCGUCACAAAACCAGAAACUGAUGGUGGGGUUAGAAUGAUGAACGUGGACCCUCCCUGGUGGCGCAACGGGUUAGGACACAGCACUGCAAGCUGGCUGCAGUCACUUGGAUGUGAA